AUAUGAGAUGGAAUUGGCUCUUUGCAGAUGAGUUCCUUUCAGUCUCUGGAGGUUGCUCUGAACUCUGUUAGCUCUUCUCUCACUAUCUUUUUCCCCAGGGUUUUUUGGGAGAUGGAAGUCUAGAAUUUAUAACCUGAUUUUUGUGACUUUGUGGGCUCAAAAGAGAGAGGUCCAAGUCCAAGAUUUUUCUGUUAUAUUUUAUUUAUUUAUUUAUUAUUAUUAUUAUUAUUAUUAUUAUUUUUUUGUUUUUUUGUUUUUUUUUGUUUUUUUGUUUUUUGUUUUUUUUUUU
This 289-nucleotide long non-coding RNA is filed under the name Lathyrus oleraceus (garden pea). Its description in RNAcentral is "Pisum sativum (pea) long non-coding RNA (PSAT_LNC024907)". Lineage: Eukaryota; Viridiplantae; Streptophyta; Magnoliopsida; Fabales; Fabaceae. The record is from RNAcentral.